Molecule: ribosomal RNA, 253 nt
Filed under: uncultured bacterium
Lineage: Bacteria
Description: partial 16S ribosomal RNA
Rfam family: Bacterial small subunit ribosomal RNA
Source: RNAcentral
UACGUAGGGUGCGAGCGUUAAUCGGAAUUACUGGGCGUAAAGCGUGCGCAGGCGGUUCGUUAUGUCCGUUGUGAAAGCCCCGGGCUCAACCUGGGAAUGGCAAUGGAAACUGGCGGGCUAGAGUGUGGCAGAGGGGGGUGGAAUUCCGCGUGUAGCAGUGAAAUGCGUAGAGAUGCGGAGGAACACCGAUGGCGAAGGCAGCCCCCUGGGCUAACACUGACGCUCAGGCACGAAAGCGUGGGGAGCAAACAGG